GUGGGAAGGGCAAAAGCACCGGGAUAUAUGAAGUCCUACACUAACUCCAAGAAGCCCUCUGCAGAACAACAAGGAGAUGACGUCUUUGCGUUCAAAGUGGAUACAUCUAUGACCACUGGGGGGGAGGGGAAAAUGUCCUCGGACACCUCUGCCAUUGAUAGCAGGUAGGAGCUAUUUGAAGGCAGUACUCAUUUGGUUACAUCUGAUGGGGCUCUCUCAAUUAGUCUUUCCUUGAUUCCUUGUAUCCUUUCUUCUUGCCUCCUUCUCAAAACUCAUUGGAGAAGACAUGGGGAGGGACCUUGGGGAGAUUCUCUUACAAUAUGGUUGAGAUGGAGUCAAGGAGAUAGGAUGUUAGGAAUCAAGGACAGAUUAAUUGAGAAAGACCCUGGGUCUCAUCUGUGUUGUAAUAGUGUCUUCUAGUGUUGCGGUAAAUAAUCCCUCAUGUCAAUGUGAUGUGAUUCAUUGCCGUUUUUUCCCCUAGUGCUACUCACAACUCCUGGGCAUUCCCCAGCACUGCCAAGAAGGGCCAAGCAGUCAAGGUAUGGAGGCAAACACUAAUUGACACAAUAUGAUGGGAGAACUUUUGAAUGGAGAGAUGGAGAUUGCCUCCUUUUGUGUGUGUGUGUGGUUCUCUUAUCUCGGUGUGUGAAGGUGUCUGUACUCUUGUCGGGUGUGUGUGUGUGAGACUGUGUGUGCGCGUAUGUAUACAUUUGUAAACCUGCGUAUGUGUACCCAUGUGUGUAUGCACCUCACUGAAUUGUCGAUGCAGUCCCAGGUAGCAGCUCCGCGGCGCCACGUGAAGAAGCACCUGUUCAGCGACACAGACACAGACGCCAUGAUGGAGAUCAGCUGGCUCAAAGAGUCCAGCAGGAAGCCCAAGCCCAAAGUGAUCGACUACAGCCGUCAGCCCCGGCUCCACCCUCCUGCCCCCAACACCACAUAUGAGUCCCCAGACUUACCACCUAGCUCACCCAAGCCUGUGAAGGAGAAAGCCAAGCCAAAGAAGAAGAGACAGAGGGUGAAGGAGAGAAGUGUAGAGCAGAAAGAGAACCGUGGAGCGGCACUGGUGGCGGCAGGGACCAGUCAAGCAGCCAGGAGGCCCCAGAGAGCCGCCGCCACCAAUGCCAAGAGCUACAGGGAGCCCGACAGCGCCAGCCAAUCAGAGACUGAAGAGCCGCCAGCUCCUAAGAAGCGCUCCAUCGGACCAGCGGAAAAGAUUGAGAAGGUUUGCCAAGAGGCUGUCGAGGUGAAGAAGAAAAAGGCAACCACCCCGGCCAAGGAACAGACGAAUGUACCGAAAGAGUCUUCUUGGGCUGCCCGGCUGGCCUCUUUCAAUCCUUCCCCGCCUGCCAUCGAGAGGAUGAGAGCUGCAUCCGAGAGGUCGCUGAUAGUCUUACCCCGGUCGCCCCUCACCCCGCAGGGCUCCCUGUCCGCCUCCCCUGCCAGCGGCCCCUCUUCACCCCUUGCCCUGGAGCUGCCCCCCGAACACCCUCGCAGCAGCGCGGGCUUCCAGCCCUCCUCCUUCUACAGCGCCCCUGGGAGGAAGAGUGACCGCAAAGCUAAGGAUCCCUCUCUCCCAUCCCUCCCCUCUCUCCCAUCCCUUACUCCCACUGGCAAGACUCCUGGCCUCCGCGCCCAGAGACCCAGUGCCUUAGAGGUAAGAUUCAAGGCUGAUACUGCACCAAUGGGCCUUCUGACACAUAAAAAUAAUACAUAAAUAAUACAUAAAAAUAAUAUAUACAGUACCAGUCAGAAGUUUGGACAAAGCUACUCAUUCUAAGGUUUGUCU
RNAcentral lists this long non-coding RNA (1789 nucleotides) under Oncorhynchus mykiss (rainbow trout). RNAcentral's name for it is "lncRNA (ENSOMYG00000003915.2)". The record is from RNAcentral. Lineage: Eukaryota; Metazoa; Chordata; Actinopteri; Salmoniformes; Salmonidae.